Peromyscus maniculatus bairdii (prairie deer mouse) is the source of this 1369-nucleotide non-coding RNA. Lineage: Eukaryota; Metazoa; Chordata; Mammalia; Rodentia; Cricetidae. The record is from RefSeq and is a predicted model, not a curated record.
UUUAAUGGGGUGACACACAUCCAUGGGGCUGUCCGUGGAGUCAAAGAAAUCAAGAAAGAAGAAAUGUUGAAGAUACAGUUAGCUCAAUGGCGGACACAGUGAAGUGGCUGAGUUGUCUCAAGGCGUCUAAACAGACGCUUAGCGUUCAGCGAAGAGGAUCACAAGGAGAAAACACCAUUCACUCCUUAAUUCAGCAAAUGCUGAAGUGCCUAGGACUCCGGAGUCAUCCUGUCAAUCACAGCUCGUUAAAACUUCAAAUUCAGUAAUAUCAAGAAAGAAAGAGCAAGAGAUGAAGAAGCUAAGAAGGCUAUGAGGAGGAGGGCCUGGGCACGUUCCCUUUCUCGAAUGCUCUUUGCACCUGUGUCCUUUGUUUUAAGGUUGUGAUCACCUCCAGAGCACUUCAGACCCGAAAGAAGGGAACAACCCAAGUCCAGACAUGAAUGCAGGAAAAUGUUGGGGCAAGGGAAACAGGCUUCGGGAAACAUCCAUACAAGAGGUCACGUUUGAGCAGGUCUUCAGAAAUGAUAGACAAUGGAAGAAUACGCAUGUCACAAUGGAACUCAUUCAGAAUCCCUUUGAGCUCUCGGAUCUCCCUCCUCUCCUCCGCUGACGUGAGUUCUGUGUCUGAAGCUGAUUCUUCCUCCUUCCUCUCUGCUGCAAGCUCAAUUGAUUCCCAGUUAUUACUCUAUUCCAGGCCGCCACUGGACAGUGCAAGAGUGUUUCCUGGAAACCCACAGUUUUGUUGAAUUUGCAUUUGUUGCUAUUAGAGAUUGUGGUCAUGUGAUGAACCCAAACCAGGGUCCAAUUUUUCCUUCUCCAGCCAACUGUGUCUAGAAACAAUUGGUACUUCACAGCUAUUUCAGUGGCUUCCAAGGAAUUUUCCCCAGAGAUGUGCAGGCUCACUUGUGACCCUCCCAGGAGCUCCCUCCAAUAGCUGCUGCCUAAACCUGCCACCAAAACCAAGUCACUUUGUUUCAUGAGUCUUGCAUGAAUACAUGAAUCUGGAUUCAAUAAAGCCGUUUUCUGCUGGCCUGUCAAAAAAAUCAACCCCACAAAGGAUUAAACUUUUCUCAAUUUGUCUUCCAAACACGAACUGGACUUCCCAGUGAUUUAUCUUGGCAAAAUGUGAGCGUAGCAGGCCAGAGGCAUGCUGGGUAGAAUCCCAUCAUUAGUCAUCAAAGAAGUGACUCAGUUGACUUGGCAUUAACCUUUGGCCUUUGACCAAACAUAUAGAAAUGUUUAAUUGUUGACAAAGCAGACUAAAGGCAUUCAGAAGAAAGAUAUGGGGAAAGGAGAGGAAAUACAUAAAUAAGUAUGAACCUUGUGGCUUAUGAGUCAGAGGACAUGUUACAUCUCAGGCCCAAAUAUG